Molecule: RNA transcript, 2660 nt
Organism: Cucurbita maxima (winter squash)
Lineage: Eukaryota; Viridiplantae; Streptophyta; Magnoliopsida; Cucurbitales; Cucurbitaceae
Exons: 4
Source: RefSeq, a predicted model, not a curated record
AGAGAGAGAGGCAAGAAGGCGAAGGUAGGAGGGGGGGAUUGGGACCCAGUGAGUGAAGUUUGGUUUUUCGCUGCAAAUCUUUCAUAGUUUUUUUCGUUGAGGUCAGAGCUUGUUCAUACAAUCUCCUUCUAAACCCACAAACCAUCCUUCCAUUUCCAUGAUUUUCAGCUUCCUUUCUGCUUCUUCUUCUUGUUCUUCAUCAUUCAUCCGUGUUCUUGUUCUUCAAUCUCGUUUUCGAACCCCCAACUUCCGCUUUUUCUCAUACACUUUACUGAUCUCCAUCAUUAUACUUCCAAUUUCCUACUUCCAACUUCCUCACAUCCUCAAUUGCGCCUAACGGACGAGGGUUUCCUCUAUUGCUGCUCUGCUGCAAUUCGCGCCUCUUGCGUUCGCCUUCGAGGCUGCUGUAAACCCGCUCUUUUUUGCUUGGUGCACGUACUAUAUAUAUGUUUGUGUAUAUUUUGUUUUUUACCAAAUGGUGCGGCCUUUCAGACUUGAUUUGUCCUGAAUGACGAGGAAGUAUAAAUUCUGGGGGAUUUUGUAUUGGUACAGUACCGCAAUUCAGCUUCAAUUCGAGUGACAAUUCUGGGGUUGGAGCUGCAGUUUACGGUGUAUGAACCCAACCGGCCUCUGGAGAAAUGCAAUCUCAGCAAAGCUCCAGAAUUGAUUUAGGCGACUUGAAAGCUCAGAUAGUUAAAAAACUUGGAAAUGACAAGUCCAAGCGGUACUUCUUCUACUUGAGUAAAUUCUUGGGUCAGAAGCUGAGCAAGGUUGAGUUUGAUAAGCUGUGCGUUCGUGUGCUUGGAAGGGAGAAUAUUCAGCUCCACAAUCAAUUGAUAAGGUCAAUUUUGAAGAAUGCAUGUGUAGCCAAGACCCCACCACUUAUAAAUGUAUCAGGACAUGCACAAUCUGUGCUACAAGCUUCGAACAAUACUCCUUGCAGAGAAGAUGCCCCUGAACAAACUGGAUCUGCCUUUCCAAAUCAGAAUCAGAGUAUACCAAUUUGGACAAAUGGGGUUCUGCCUGUGUCCCCACGGAAGGGUAGAUCUGUCUUACGCGGGAAGUUUAGGGAUAGGCCGAGUCCGCUUGGUCCAAAUGGAAAAACAGCAUGUCUUUCGUAUCAAUCAACUGGUACUGAAGAUAGGAAAGUUAUUACAGAGAAUGGUAAUGUAACCAUGUGUGACUAUCAGAGGCCUGUACAGCAACUUCAAGCAGUAGCUGAGCUACCUGAGAAUGACAUAGAUGGAUCAGUUCAGCGGCCGUCAGGAAAACCAAGAAUACGUCCAACAGAAGCAUCCAUUCUUGAAGAAGGAGAGGAGGUGGAACAAUCAGAUCCCUUAAGCUUCCUUAGAGGUCCUCUACUUCCACCUCUUGGUAUUCCAUUUUGUUCAGCGAGUGUGGGUGGGGCACGCAAGGCCUUGCCAGUCAGCAGUAGUGGCAGUUGUGUCGAUUUUCUGAGUUGUUAUGACAGUAUUGGAUUGUCUGAUUCAGAGACAGUGAGAAAACGCAUGGAACAAAUUGCAACUGCACAAGGGCUUGAAGGUGUUUCUUUGGAAUGUCCUAACAUCCUGAAUAAUACUCUUGAUGUGUACCUGAAGCAAUUGAUAAAGUCUUGCCUUGAGUUGGUGAGAACAAGGUCUACAUUUGAACAUACAGGGCACCCGAUCCAGAAGCAACAAAAUCAAGGGAAGGUUAUAAAUGGUAUGUGGCCUACUAACCACCUACGUGUACAGAAUAGCAACGGGCGAUCUGAAGUUUUGGAGGAAAAGAGUUUUGAAUGCUCAGUGUCAUUGCUGGAUUUCAAAGUUGCUAUGGAGCUCAAUCCAAAGCAGCUUGGGGAAGAUUGGCCUUUGCUGUUGGAGAAAAUUAGUAUGCGUGCCUUUGAGGAAUAAGCGGUUGCAAAGGUUUUAUUUAUUCUUCUGCCAUCCAAGGCUGAUCUCUGUUCCUUCGGGCUUUUAAACGCACCUGGGAUGUCUUCCCGUUCUUCCCUUCUUCCUGGGGUGUACUUGAUCGCUCCCAUUUGGUUCAGGCUCCAAGCUUUCAUGCUAAAAUAUUGUGACAUCAUUGCCUGCUGCAUCGAGGAAGUUGAAUUAACUCGACUAAGAAAGGGGGAGCUUUCAGCCAGAAUGCCCGUAAAAGGAAUACUGUCGUUUAGCUUGGUGAAAGAUGAAUCACCUGGGUGAGAGCUUCAGGUGCUCUUGCCAGCUGCCCCCUCCAGAUAAAUGUGAACGUAUGCGUGUGAGAAGUUCAUCUCAGGAGCAGCACAGCCUGAUUUCAAGAUGUUUGCAACGAGAUCGAUAUCCAGCUUGCUACUGAACAAAUCAAUGUUCUACAGAUACUAUGCCCAAUUGGAUGCAGAUAAUUCUUACUAAAAGCUAACGUAAUGAUUGAAGUUUGGAGUAGACAAGGCUCAAGGUCAUAAUACCACGGAAAGGUAUCUUCUCCUUCUAGAAAUAACUAUUUUUCUUUCCUGCUCAAAUAAUUUAAACUUCUGUGGGCUCUAGUGCGUUGAUUGCAAAGCAUAUUUGCAUCUAAAGUACUAUUAAGCAUUGUACUAAUCUGUUCUUGUGAUGUCUGCUGUUUUAUCAUCAUACUAUUGAUUUAGUUUUCUUCUAAGAGGUUUGCCAUUUUUUUUCUUAUGAUAUAUAGCUUGCUUGUCA